Molecule: ribosomal RNA, 417 nt
Filed under: uncultured bacterium
Lineage: Bacteria
Description: bacterial SSU rRNA
Rfam family: Bacterial small subunit ribosomal RNA
Source: RNAcentral
GGGCCCGCACAAGCGGUGGAUUAUGUGGAUUAAUUCGAUGCAACGCGAAAAACCUUACCUAGCCUUGACAUGUACCGAAUUUAGCAGAGAUGCUUUAGUGCUCGUAAGAGAACGGUAACACAGGUGCUGCAUGGCUGUCGUCAGCUCGUGUCGUGAGAUGUUGGGUUAAGUCCCGCAACGAGCGCAACCCUUGCCAUUAAUUGCCAUCAUUUAGUUGGGCACUUUAAUGGGACUGCCGGUGACAAACCGGAGGAAGGUGGGGAUGACGUCAAGUCCUCAUGGCCCUUAUGGCUAGGGCUUCACACGUAAUACAAUGGUCGGUACAGAGGGUAGCCAACCCGCGAGGGGGAGCCAAUCCCAGAAAGCCGAUCGUAGUCCGGAUUGUUGUCUGCAACUCGACAGCAUGAAGUCGGAAUC